AUACGUAGGGGGCGAGCGUUGUCCGGAAUGAUUGGGCGUACAGGGUGCGUAGGCGGCUAGGCAAGUCAGAUGUGAAAUCCCCGGGCUUAACUCGGGAGUUGCAUUUGAAACUGCUUAGCUUGAGUGCAGGAGAGGAAAGCGGAAUUCCUUGUGAAGCGGUGAAAUGCGUAGAUAUUAGGAGGAACACCAGUAGCGAAGGCGGCUUUCUGGACUGUAACUGACGCUAAGGCACGAAAGCGUGGGGAGCAAACAGGAUUAGAUACCCUGGUAGUCCACGCUGUAAACGAUGGAUACUAGGUGUGGGGGAGAUACAACCUCCGUGCCGCAGCAAACGCAAUAAGUAUCCCGCCUGGGGAGUACGGUCGCAAGGUUGAAACUCAAAGGAAUUGACGGGG
RNAcentral lists this ribosomal RNA (395 nucleotides) under uncultured bacterium. RNAcentral's name for it is "partial 16S ribosomal RNA". It matches the Rfam family "Bacterial small subunit ribosomal RNA", at positions 523 to 918 of the family's 1533-position model. The record is from RNAcentral.